This 369-nucleotide unclassified non-coding RNA is filed under the name fungal sp. Its description in RNAcentral is "partial internal transcribed spacer region". The stretch from base 1 to 46 matches the Rfam family "Eukaryotic small subunit ribosomal RNA", at positions 1786 to 1831 of the family's 1831-position model. The record is from RNAcentral. Lineage: Eukaryota; Fungi.
AAGUCGUAACAAGGUUUCCGUAGGUGAACCUGCGGAAGGAUCAUUAACACGUAUCCAACGUUAAACCCCCCGUGAACCUUCAGUGCGCUCGCACUUUCUUAGAAAAGGUAGCAAUCCCUGGUAGGGACUUCUGCGUAGACUGUGCUUGAGCGUGAGGCAAGUGGCCUGGCAUUCCUCUGCUUGUUGGUGUCUGAAAGUGUCACCAGCUCUGUACGAAUGGCGCAGUCACGAUCGCUAGAGGCCGACACGGCCGGCGACCGGGUCACUGGGCGCGAGCCCCCCUCGUCACCUUUGCAUGAAAACGGGCCUGCGCUUAAUUGUGCGGCCACCAAACUCGAACAACUGUUAACAAUGGAUAUCUUGGUUCUC